Molecule: ribosomal RNA, 429 nt
Filed under: Acidobacteriota bacterium
Lineage: Bacteria; Pseudomonadati; Acidobacteriota
Description: Acidobacteria bacterium partial 16S ribosomal RNA
Rfam family: Bacterial small subunit ribosomal RNA
Source: RNAcentral
UGGGGAAUUUGGGACAAGGGGGGAAACCCUGAUCCAGCCAUCCCGCGUGUGCGAUGAAGGCCUUCGGGUUGUAAAGCACUUUUGGCAGGAAAGAAACGUCAUGGGUUAAUACCCCGUGAAACUGACGGUACCUGCAGAAUAAGCACCGGCUAACUACGUGCCAGCAGCCGCGGUAAUACGUAGGGUGCAAGCGUUAAUCGGAAUUACUGGGCGUAAAGCGUGCGCAGGCGGUUCGGAAAGAAAGAUGUGAAAUCCCAGAGCUCAACUUUGGAACUGCAUUUUUCACUACCGGGCUAGAGUGUGUCAGAGGGAGGUGGAAUUCCGCGUGUAGCAGUGAAAUGCGUAGAUAUGCGGAGGAACACCGAUGGCGAAGGCAGCCUCCUGGGAUAACACUGACGCUCAUGCACGAAAGCGUGGGGAGCAAACAGG